AGACCAAAGUGGGGGACCUUCGGGCCUCAUGCCAUCAGAUGUGCCCAGAUGGGAUUAGCUAGUAGGUGGGGUAACGGCUCACCUAGGCGACGAUCCCUAGCUGGUCUGAGAGGAUGACCAGCCACACUGGAACUGAGACACGGUCCAGACUCCUACGGGAGGCAGCAGUGGGGAAUAUUGCACAAUGGGCGCAAGCCUGAUGCAGCCAUGCCGCGUGUGUGAAGAAGGCCUUCGGGUUGUAAAGCACUUUCAGCGGGGAGGAAGGCGUUAAGGUUAAUAACCUUGUCGAUUGACGUUACCCGCAGAAGAAGCACCGGCUAACUCCGUGCCAGCAGCCGCGGUAAUACGGAGGGUGCAAGCGUUAAUCGGAAUUACUGGGCGUAAAGCGCACGCAGGCGGUCUGUCAAGUCGGAUGUGAAAUCCCCGGGCUCAACCUGGGAACUGCAUUCGAAACUGGCAGGCUAGAGUCUUGUAGAGGGGGGUAGAAUUCCAGGUGUAGCGGUGAAAUGCGUAGAGAUCUGGAGGAAUACCGGUGGCGAAGGCGGCCCCCUGGACAAAGACUGACGCUCAGGUGCGAAAGCGUGGGGAGCAAUCGGGAACUGUGAGACAGGUGCUGCAUGGCUGUCGUCAGCUCGUGUUGUGAAAUGUUGGGUUAAGUCCCGCAACGAGCGCAACCCUUAUCCUUUGUUGCCAGCGGUCCGGCCGGGAACUCAAAGGAGACUGCCAGUGAUAAACUGGAGGAAGGUGGGGAUGACGUCAAGUCAUCAUGGCCCUUACGACCAGGGCUACACACGUGCUACAAUGGCAUAUACAAAGAGAAGCGACCUCGCGAGAGCAAGCGGACCUCAUAAAGUAUGUCGUAGUCCGGAUUGGAGUCUGCAACUCGACUCCAUGAAGUCGGAAUCGCUAGUAAUCGUAGAUCAGAAUGCUA
Molecule: ribosomal RNA, 931 nt
Filed under: Klebsiella pneumoniae
Lineage: Bacteria; Pseudomonadati; Pseudomonadota; Gammaproteobacteria; Enterobacterales; Enterobacteriaceae
Description: bacterial SSU rRNA
Rfam family: Bacterial small subunit ribosomal RNA
Source: RNAcentral